CUCGCUCCUCUUGCUCCUUCAUUUCUACCUUUGCACGCAUGCACACUUGGCGUACAUGCACGCACAAAUACGCACACCGUGACUGAUGCCUUCUCCAUUUUUCUCUGGCAUUCUUCUUCCACUCCACGGCUGAGACUUUUCUCCCUUCAGUGUGUUUGUCCUCUGUAGCGUACGGUGGAACCGGUUCUGCACCGCUCCAGCUCGCGCUAUCCCAGUCACAAAAUCCUCACAGCGUGGAGUGUCGAAGAAAGGAGAGAGGUGGCAUCUGAGAGAGGAAAUGUGACGACCAGAGAAGCUAGAGUGAAGUCGAGAUGCAAGACUACAAGUCGAGAAGUAAAAAGGAAAAAGGGAGGCGGGAAGGAGAUCCAACUUGGCAAGAAAUACUGGAAGAGUGCACCUCCCCUCUUAACCUGAAGGCCACCUUCACGUUUUGUCCAAAAUGAUCUCAAGGUAAUAACAUAUCCAUAUUGGAUAAUAUUCUGCAUGAUUCAGU
This is a long non-coding RNA of Thalassophryne amazonica, 493 nucleotides long. RefSeq lists it as uncharacterized. The record is from RefSeq and is a predicted model, not a curated record. Lineage: Eukaryota; Metazoa; Chordata; Actinopteri; Batrachoidiformes; Batrachoididae. The transcript is spliced from 3 exons.